AAAUUGAAGAGUUUGAUCAUGGCUCAGAUUGAACGCUGGCGGCAGGCCUAACACAUGCAAGUCGAACGGUAACAGGAAGCAGCUUGCUGCUUUGCUGACGAGUGGCGGACGGGUGAGUAAUGUCUGGGAAACUGCCUGAUGGAGGGGGAUAACUACUGGAAACGGUGGCUAAUACCGCAUAACGUCGCAAGACCAAAGAGGGGGACCUUCAGGCCUCUUGCCAUCAGAUGUGCCCAGAUGGGAUUAGCU
Molecule: ribosomal RNA, 249 nt
Filed under: Salmonella enterica
Lineage: Bacteria; Pseudomonadati; Pseudomonadota; Gammaproteobacteria; Enterobacterales; Enterobacteriaceae
Description: partial 16S ribosomal RNA
Rfam family: Bacterial small subunit ribosomal RNA
Source: RNAcentral